This 334-nucleotide ribosomal RNA is filed under the name Paenibacillus polymyxa. RNAcentral's name for it is "23S rRNA. Bacterial LSU". It matches the Rfam family "Bacterial large subunit ribosomal RNA", at positions 2583 to 2925 of the family's 2925-position model. The record is from RNAcentral. Lineage: Bacteria; Bacillati; Bacillota; Bacilli; Caryophanales; Paenibacillaceae. RNAcentral also lists the same sequence under 1 other name.
GCCCAUUAAAGCGGUACGCGAGCUGGGUUCAGAACGUCGUGAGACAGUUCGGUCCCUAUCUGUCGUGGGCGUAGGAAAUUUGAGAGGAGCUGUCCUUAGUACGAGAGGACCGGGAUGGACGUACCGCUGGUGUACCAGUUGUUCCGCCAGGAGCACCGCUGGGUAGCUAUGUACGGAAGGGAUAAGCGCUGAAAGCAUCUAAGCGUGAAGCCCCCCUCAAGAUGAGAUUUCCCAAUAAGUAAGACCCCUUGAAGACGACGAGGUAGAUAGGUUGGGGGUGGAAGUGCAGUAAUGCAUGGAGCUGACCAAUACUAAUCGGUCGAGGGCUUAUCCU